GUCCCUGUAUCGCAAUAGAUAGCGCGUUGGACUUCUAAUCCAAAGGUCGUGGGUCCAAAUCCCAUCUGGGAUG
RNAcentral lists this transfer RNA (73 nucleotides) under Trichonephila clavata. It matches the Rfam family "tRNA". Rfam says of the family: Transfer RNA (tRNA) molecules are approximately 80 nucleotides in length. Their secondary structure includes four short double-helical elements and three loops (D, anti-codon, and T loops). Lineage: Eukaryota; Metazoa; Arthropoda; Arachnida; Araneae; Nephilidae. The record is from Rfam by way of RNAcentral.